Molecule: ribosomal RNA, 425 nt
Filed under: uncultured bacterium
Lineage: Bacteria
Description: bacterial SSU rRNA
Rfam family: Bacterial small subunit ribosomal RNA
Source: RNAcentral
UAGGGAAUCUUCCGCAAUGGACGAAAGUCUGACGGAGCAACGCCGCGUGAGUGAUGAAGGUCCUCGGAUCGUAAAACUCUGUUGUCAGGGAAGAACAAGUACCGGAGUAACUGCCGGUACCUUGACGGUACCUGACCAGAAAGCCACGGCUACCUACGUGCCAGCAGCCGCGGUAAUACGUAGGUGGCAAGCGUUGUCCGGAAUUAUUGGGCGUAAAGCGCGCGCAGGCGGUCCUUUAAGUCUGAUGUGAAAUCUCGCGGCUCAACCGCGAGCGGCCAUUGGAAACUGGGGGACUUGAGUGCAGAAGAGGAAAGCGGAAUUCCACGUGUAGCGGUGAAAUGCGUAGAGAUGUGGAGGAACACCAGUGGCGAAGGCGGCUUUCUGGUCUGUAACUGACGCUGAGGCGCGAAAGCGUGGGGAGCAAA